Molecule: ribosomal RNA, 700 nt
Filed under: uncultured bacterium
Lineage: Bacteria
Description: bacterial SSU rRNA
Rfam family: Bacterial small subunit ribosomal RNA
Source: RNAcentral
AGAGUUUGAUCAUGGCUCAGAACGAACGCUGGCGGCAUGCCUAACACAUGCAAGUCGAACGCCCUGGUUCGCCAGGGAAUGGCGCACGGGUGAGUAACGCGUGGGAACCUGCCCGGCAGUACGGGACAACCGCGGGAAACUGCGGCUGAUACCGUAUACGGCCUGAGGGCGAAAGAAUUUCGCUGUCGGAGGGGCCCGCGUCGGAUUAGGUAGUUGGUGGGGUAACGGCCUACCGAGCCUGCGAUCCGUAGCUGGUCUGAGAGGAUGAUCAGCCACACUGGGACUGAGACACGGCCCAGACUCCUACGGGAGGCAGCAGUGGGGAAUAUUGGACAAUGGGCGCAAGCCUGAUCCAGCAAUGCCGCGUGAGUGAUGAAGGCCUUAGGGUUGUAAAGCUCUUUCGCCCGCGACGAUGAUGACGGUAGCGGGAGAAGAAGCCCCGGCUAACUCCGUGCCAGCAGCCGCGGUAAUACGGAGGGGGAUAGCGUUGUUCGGAAUUACUGGGCGUAAAGGGCGCGCAGGCGGCUGCUCAAGUCAGGCGUGAAAGGCCUGGGCUCAACCCGGGAAUUGCGCUUGAGACUGGGCUGGCUUGAGUGCGGGAGAGGAUGGUGGAAUUCCCAGUGUAGAGGUGAAAUUCGUAGAUAUUGGGAAGAACACCGGUGGCGAAGGCGGCCAUCUGGACCGCAACUGACGCUGAGGC